Molecule: ribosomal RNA, 253 nt
Filed under: uncultured bacterium
Lineage: Bacteria
Description: partial 16S ribosomal RNA
Rfam family: Bacterial small subunit ribosomal RNA
Source: RNAcentral
UACGGAGGGUGCAAACGUUGCUCGGAAUCAUUGGGCGUAAAGCGCACGUAGGCGGACUGCUAAGUCGGAUGUGAAAGCCCUCGGCUUAACCGAGGAAGUGCAUUCGAAACUGACAGUCUUGAGUAUGGAAGAGGGUCGCGGAAUUCCCGGUGUAGAGGUGAAACUCGUAGAUAUCUGGAGGAACACCGGUGGCGAAGGCGGCAUCCUGGACCGGUAUUGACGCUGAGGCGCGAAAGCCAGGGGAGCAAACGGG